AAGGGAGACCUAAUUCAGGUAGGAGACGAAAAAAAAGUAGUCCCAACCAAGAAUCAAUCCCAAAAGGUCGGAGCGAGGCGAAAUUGGCUUUCAAACUAGGUUCUGGGUUCACACAAGACCUGAAUCAGGAACAAGGGCUAUUAGCUCAGGUGGUUAGAGCGCACCCCUGAUAAGGGUGAGGUCCCUGGUUCGAGUCCAGGAUGGCCCACCUGCACAGGUGGCAAAAACAAGAGAAGCGAGGAAUCAGCACCUUAUCUUAUCUAUAUAUAUAUAGGAGAGAAUGCUGGCUCUGAGUAAAGAGUCCAGAGGAACCUUGAAAACUGCAUAGAGCUAGGUGAAAAAGCCAAAAAAGUAGACCGCAA
RNAcentral lists this transfer RNA (362 nucleotides) under uncultured Microcystis sp. RNAcentral's name for it is "partial 16S-23S ribosomal RNA intergenic spacer". The stretch from base 135 to 208 matches the Rfam family "tRNA". Lineage: Bacteria; Bacillati; Cyanobacteriota; Cyanophyceae; Chroococcales; Microcystaceae. The record is from RNAcentral.